Molecule: long non-coding RNA, 8822 nt
Organism: Cuculus canorus (common cuckoo)
Lineage: Eukaryota; Metazoa; Chordata; Aves; Cuculiformes; Cuculidae
Exons: 3
Source: RefSeq, a predicted model, not a curated record
GAGGGAAGGACAACAGCAUGUACUUAGAAAUUAUUAAUGUUAUUUUGUUAUUUAUUUGUUUCUGGUUUGAUUUGUGUUUCCUUUUUUUUGUUUUUUGGUUUUUUUUUUACCUUAAAGCAACUCCUCACAGUCUUUUAUUUGCAAAGAAACACGAUGUACUUAUCAACAGAACUGUUUUUGAGCUAUGGCAUUUUUAGCUUCUGCUCCCUUGAGCUGUUGGUGAGACAUUGAGCAAUACUUGUUUAGUGGCUUUAGAAGUUGUGUAAAUCAUUUUAGUCAACAAACUUGGCUGCUCUUUCAAGUUAAUGUGACCUUAAAAUGUAAUGGUAGAGUAUUUGUUUUUGCAAUGUUAAUGUAGGUACUUUUGCUUAUAAACAAGAAGCAUCUAUAAAAAGGACUCUGCAAAGCAACAGUCAGUCCGGAGUGUGCAAUAGUGCUCCUUCCACAGCGCCAGCCCUUUCCAGAGAGUGAGCUAAAUCACCAUCUUGCUGAAGCCUGUGGGAAAUGUUUCCAUUCACUUUAACAUUAUCAAGAUUUGGCAUAGUAAGAAAAUAAGCCCUGGGUGUCAACAUACUCUACCUCUUCCAGAAGCACAGAUGUGCGUUUUGGCCCUCUGACAUGUAUGUUUUAUGGUUAGCCACUGGUUUAUUAGUGUAAGUCUCAAAGGAUUCCUUGAACCCAUCAGCAGAAAAUGAAGGUGCAAACCCUAAAGCUUUCCCAUUAGAUGAGAAUCUCCUUUUUCCCAUCAAUGACAGUUGCCUAUGCCAUGGAAGUAUAUCAGCAGCUUUUCUGCUCUACGGAUUAUAUCCUGUGUUUUGCAGCUUACACUUCAAUCUUUUUUUUCCUGUUAAAGCCCUGCCGGGAGUAUUCAGUCAUGCAAAGUCAUUAGAAGUCAGUGGCGAGGAUCCUCAUUGACUUCAGAGGAAUUUGGAUGAAGGCCAUAUAAUUAAGCCACAGAAAAGGCUGUUUCGCUGUAUUAUCUUUUCCUGGUUUAACUGUGUCACCUGGAUAGAUCAUGCAAUCUCCAUCCUCUAUGGCUAGUAAAAAUGGCACCAAAAGCUAAUGAAUAGCCAGCAAGUUGCGAAAGGUUGUUGGUGUUAUCAGUUAAUUAUUUUUUGCUGCUUGAACCUAUUUUUUCCUUUUUUUAUUGUUGGCAAAUCAUCGUAUAACUUUCUCUUUUACUUAGGUGAUUGAGUUUUGCCAGCUGAUGUCCUGGCUACAUGGACAGUAUUUAUAUACCUCUGAAAGAAUGAGCUGGAAGACGAGUGUCCUGUUCCUUGUCCAUCUCCUACUUCAGUUUUGUACAAUUGGACUUUGACGAGAACAGCGCAGAGGGUGGUACAGGCACACUUAGUGGCGUGACAGCCUGUUUUGAUGUGCUCAUGCACAGGGAUUCUCUCACUUUCCAGAGGUUUUAAAUUUGCUGGAGGGCAGACCUUCUGCUUGGACAAGAAAGGUCUGAUCUCAAUGGUGGUUUCAGUCCUUCCCUGAGGAUGUGGUGUGAAAGUUCCUGCUACUGAGGGAAAAAAGCAAACAGCCUCUCCUGCGUUUUAGCUAUUGGCUGUGAAUCACUGUCUCUGGCUGCAGCCCACUCCUCUGAAGUGUGUUUCAUCUGUAGUAAUAACAACCAGCUUCUGAUUUUGGGACUCAAACGCUUCAAAGGAGCCUCAGUUCCUCUCUGAAAGACAUUGGAUAUGAUUUCCUCCUCCUGUGAUGCUCAUCCCGGAUGAUCCCCGACACCUUAGCAGGGGCAGCCUGAGGGAGAAAAACCUCAGGGUCCCCAAUCCUAUGUCUGGGCUCACAAGCAAAGGGCUGCAGGAAUAGGAGGGGAAGGACCUGGAGGACUGAGGGACUGUAAUGUCCUCUCCUUUUCUGGGAGAUGGGAAAACCGAUGUAUUUUGCUUAAGUACAACACACCAAUAGAAUCAUUGCAAUGUGCUAGAUAGUAUGUGUAAUGUUGCAAAUAAUGAUUCUUUUGAUUACACCGUGGUAUGAGGGACAGUGAGUUUUGCCCUGCCUUAGCUCCUUUGUGUGGGAGCAUCAGGGAGGGAAUGGUCUCCUCCCUUCCCUGUUCCUGCCCCUCAAACAGAAGCUCUGCUUAUGCCUGUCUCCUGAGUCAGCCUCAACAGCACAGGGCAGGGAGAGACUCUUGAGAGGCUUUGAGUUUGCAUUGCCAGCCUCCAAGAGCAGCUGGGCCUCCUUCCUUUCAUCGGAGCUGCCUCUGAAGGAUGAAAUGCCCAAACCAUGGACUGCUGAGAAUAAGUGCGGUGAAGAAGAGUGAACAGCAAGGAAACAGCAAGAGGUGGAUUAGCUGGAUGAAUUUCGUAUCACGAAGCUGAAAGAUUUUACACUUCAGCAAGCCAAGUACCUUGAAAGAAGAGUUUCGAGGCAAGAAGAGAAAGCCCCUGAGGGUCUUCCUCUUUCCAUUAUGAAUGACACAAUUUAGAGGCUUUCAGCUCAAAAAGCCCUGCUGACAUGAGUGACUUACCAAAGUCGGAUCGUGCUGGCUGAAAGAAUAUUUGUUACAAGACUCGGCUCCUAUGCAGCACCUAAGUGACCAGAGGUUUCAGAUGAGUUCAGUUCCUAAUGUUCUCACCAUUGCUUGCAGUGAGAAUUGCUGCGUUACUAGAUCUUUUCCCAAUCUGUCCCUACAUAUUUUAUGCAUCUAGCAUAAAAUAAAUACCUAUAGAAUAUGAUCUUGUUAUACUCACAUAAUACCUUCUAAAAAGGCAUCUCUCUAAACCAAGACACCAGUCUAUCUUAACCAUCAAGAUUAGUAGCUGUAGAUCUAAUUGUAACAGUUUUCUCCCGGUAUGUACUACAGGACUGGGGAACCAUCUGCCAAACAGAAAAGCGUAAAUUGAGCAAGGAAAGAAAAGCUGUCACUGAUCUUUUGAGUGGUGAUGGCUAUCAACAAAAAGGAAGCAGUUUGAGCCAAUCUCCAACCUGAUCUAGAACAUGCAAUGUGAAGACUUUCUGAAGAUAACACAACCUGAAUAAGAGGACAAAGCUGUGUGCUGUCUGGUUAUAUCGGCUGUGUAACAAGAAUACUAGUUCUAGCUGAAAUAUGAACAUCUGGUUUCCUAUUUGAAGAGUCACAAUCAGUCUUCUCCAGUAGCACAAACUGCUUACUGUACCUCAAACUUAAAGCUCUUUUGAAACAAUCACCGGAGAACCAUCUGGUUUUGACUUGUCUUGUCAGUAUCUGUCUUGUGAAACGUUAUUUUCAGGAUGUUAACAAACAACUCCAUCCAAAAAGUUCUUCCACGUUUCUUGUCAUCCAUGAUUGCAAAAAUUUAGAUGCCAUAUGCCCUGUCUUCCUUAGAAACUCAGAGAUGGCUUGUGCCAAGAAUUCCACAUGAGAAAUUUGCUUUGUGUUUGUUACUGUUCACAGGCUCUUGCUCAGCCCCAAGACUAAAGCAUAAUGUGCAUGUACAUAUAUGAAAAUACAUUGUCUUGGUGUCACGAACUGUGAGCCAACCCACCUCCCCCACUCCUCCUUCAUUGGAGUAAUUUCAUCAGUUGGGGCUUAUGAAGCAAGAAUUUUGCUAACCCUUUGUUCUCUAAAGCAUUAUUUAUUGUCUUCCCCUUCAUCACAGCCUACAUGCAGAGCCAGUAUGUAAGAAUGUAUGAUGUAUGAUUCAAUGCCAUGUAAAAAUUCUGCUUAGAUUCUCAUGUUUGGCACCAGUAGUAACCUUUGUCUGGUCUGUGACUGGAGAAAGACAGCUCCUGAGUGCAUAAAGUGCUUUUGACCUUACUUUCAAACACCCACAUGAACACUCAAAAUGGUGGAGAACUCAUUACAUUCAUGGUCCAGAAACUGGCAUUUUGUUUUCUGCCCCUGCUUUGUCUGACUUCGGGUGAAUGCAAUUGAAAAUGUCAAAGAUGCAGCUCCUAUGUAAUGUAAGAGGAGGAUUACAUUUUUUCUGACAUUGGAGGGGUGUUCCAACAAUGCAGCUGACGUAGGAGGGGACAGAUUACCGUGCAUCUGACAUAGCAGCAAUUAUAGGAAAUGUAUUUACAGGAAUGGAUGGAAAACAAAUUUAAUAUGCUGUUCCAGAGGAGGACAAUAAAGGUGUAUUGCAACAGUCCUUCCCCCAUCUGCAAAACCAUAUUUCUCACUUGUCUGUCGGCACAAACAAUCUGUGCUGUAUGGCAGGAAAUAUCAGACGCAAAUAUCACAUUAAUCUCUAAGGAAGGAUACCUGUUUUCGUAACUUGCUCAUUCACUAAGGUCUCUCAGUAGUGGCUCAGACAAUAGGUGGAUAUAUCAGGUUUUCCCUGUGGAAUAACUGUACCACUGGCACUGUGCUGCAAAUGUGACUUUUAUUUGGUUUCUGCUUUCUUGCAAAGCAAGUGAAGUAAAGAAGGGGAAGGGAAGAAGCUCCUAAUUUUUCAGUAUGCAGUAGACAAAUGCUGUUAAUGCUCUUUUCACAGGAGCCAGUGCACAGCCCCUUGCCUGGCAGAGGCACAGGCAGGCACAAGCAGAUGAAGCAAUUACUUACAACAACUGGAAAGCGAUAGCCUUUCCAUUUCAAGCUGCAGUGAGUGCACUGUGGAUCUCAAACAUUAAGGCAUUAAUAUAGAGGAAAGGGUGGCGGGGGGGAGGGGGGGCUUAUUCAUUUUGUCCCUAGGGAACGAUGUGUAGCUUUCUGCAUGAAUCAUUCACAAGUGAGGGGAGCAAAGUGGAGGCUGGAGUGAGGGACAUAAAAAAUGCCACAUUUGGGUCAGGGUUUCCAGCACAGCUAUCAACAAAGAACAUACGUGUAUAACAAAUUCUAUUGUCUCAGGCUAAUUCCUGUUGGGCACGUGUCCAUACUGCCCACAGCCGUACCACUGGGGCACCUCUGCAUCCGAUGGCACUCCUUUAAAAAGCAAUAGGAUGCUAGUGAAGGCCACGCUAAAAGGGACAAGGAUAAAUGACAUUACUGCCCUCACAGUUUGUCCCUCCAGCUCCAUACCAGGGCAGGCAUCCAGAGCCUGGUGAGGGCAUCCACAAUGGCUGGAGAAUAAUAGGCAGAUCUUGCUCAAGGGGAAACAUCUUGUGGAUACCCCAGCAGACGUAAUGUCAAGGGCAACAGCAUUCAGUCUUCUGGGCUGCCCACAGCAAGGUUCCCAAACUUAUUGACUGGGGGCUGGUUUCCCACCAUGUCCAUAAGGCUGGCAGAAUUGCCCUCACCUAUUUGUAGGGCUCCCAAAGAGGCAAGGGAAGGGGAAAAAAAAGUUUGGCCUCGAGUCUCGAGUUUUGGCUCCUACACAAAGCUCAAAUGUGGAGCUCCCACCGAGAGCCUUGGGCUGGUGGUGUCCUGGGGCUAUGAAGUCAUUGGAUAUGGAUGAAAGGAUGACCAAGCACCCUGACUGCUACAUGACAGCUUGGGACCAAUGCACGGCAGCCUCUGCAGCUUGUCCCUGCCCCAGCAUGGCUUUUUCACACAAGCCGUUUUCCUGCAGCACUCCCCUGUCAAAUGGAUUGUGGACAUGUCUUCCUCCCGCCUCUGCUCUCAUAUCUGAAGUCUGCUUACCAUUUAUUUUUUGCUUUGGAGCUGGAAGCUUCUUACUGAUCUUACACUGCUAAACUUCUCUGUCAGGUCUGGCCGAAAAAAAACCCAAGCAACAAAACAAUACACGAGCUACUGCAGCAUGUAGGGUGUUUCAGGGAGCAGUGGGAAGUCAUACACACUGUAAACAGAAACUGUGGGCAAAGAGUCACAAAGCCCUGGGGAGUACCAGAAAGCUAGCUGACUCUGUUUAACCUGCCUCUCUGUCCAUACUCCAGCUGGAAUUGGGGUCUAGCAUUAAAUUACAAGUAUUAAUCUUACAGAAAGUCCAGCCUGAUGUGAAAAAUCACAUAGAAGAGCUGCCUAUUAUAUAAACUGUUCUAAACCCAGUGUGUACAUAGCUUUAUUUAUACCAGCUGUAAGAUUAACAUUAAUCACUUAAUUGCAGUGUGAAAGAUGGCCUUGCAGUAAAAGCACUUUGCCUGGGCUCAGGACACAGAAGUGUAAUUCACAGCUCUGCCAUAGACUUGCCACAUCACCAUAACUGUUAAGACACUUCAUCUUGUAAGGGUUUUGCCCUCCUAAUAGUAAAAUAGGUAUAGUAAAUAGGGGAAACUACCUCUUUUCCUUAUGUGUUGUCCAUUUUGUUUAUGAAGAUCCUAUGCUCUUGGUGGGAAAGUGGCAGUUCCAAAUAUUGAUCUACAAGCAUCUGAACUCUGUGUGGUCCUGCCCCAGGAAAGUGCCUACCUGGCUAAUACUGAUGCUAAUGUUACAGUAACAGUAGCUUAACAUAGAUGUACUCAGCCCCAGAAGCUCUUGGGAUCAUCUUUAGUCAAAGCCCUUCGCAGAAGACGUGCUUUACUUCGCAGUAUACUUUGUAGAUGGAUGGUUUAAGAAAUGUUGAGCCACUGCAGCUUCCAUUAAAAUCAGCAGAAACAUCAGAUGCUCACUCUCUCUGAGAAUCAGCCCACACACUAUAAAAUUACUUUCAGCUAAAUGUAAACAGGCAUGGUUAGAAUACGGGUGUGUAUUUGCAUUUACUAUGAUCAUGACUUUCAGUCAUUAAGAUUAAAUGAUUGAAACAAAAACAUAAUUCAAAAGCCAUUAUUCAAUGUUGGUGGUUUAGCUUUAUUUAUUCUGGGCAAUGGAAAUAACCUGGCUGACUUCUCUUUCUACAUAAACUUUUCCUAUGUUUGUUGCCAGUUGUUAGUCAGGUUUGCAUGCCUCAGCACAGUGGAGCACUAUUAGAGUGACAAAGACAGAUAGGAAAUGAUUACAAUAAAAGAAAGACGCUCUCAAGGGCACAGACCACCUUGUUUGUUCUUUGUUUGUACUUCCCUUAAUACAAACAGAAACAGUCAGAGCCUUGAUAUUAAUGGUAGAUUUUGUAGCACAUUAUAUUUAGGAAAGUAAAGAACCUUAACAUACCUGGUGGCAACCUUUUAAAAAGCUAUUUUACAGCCCUAGAUAUGAAUGAAUGCUGAAGAGAAGCUCUACGUGCCUUCAUUCUGCAAGACAAGCUCAAUGUAUUAUGUCAGUGAAAUGUCAUCACCUCAUUAAUUUUUAAAUGUCAUAAACAUUAAUGACAAAAGAUCAUUGUUGUGAUGAUAAUUAUGUAACUCUGAUGCAAUGUUAUGACCAAAGACAUUCCAGUGGUCUGAAAUACAUUUCUGGAUACCAUUGUGGUGCCUCAGUAAGGAUAUGCCAGCUUUAAAGUAUUUUUGCCAAAAUUGCAGUGGUAGCCCAGACUUUUUCAAAUUCAAAGACACUUUGAAGUCACAUUAGAAACAGUCAUGCAUCAUUGUUUUCAAGAUAAUCCUUUUGUCUUUAAAAUAAGCCUACAAGUAUUUUAGUCUAUUAUCUCAUCUUCUUUACUUUAAAUGUCACUGUACUUUUGAGAAUGUGACACUUACCAUUUUACUUUUUUCUAGGCCAGAGUCUGACCUGGUGUGACCAGAAGCAACUCUAUUGAUUUCAGCAAAGUUUUGUUUGAUUAAAUUGUGUAAUUGAUGGGACACUGAAAAUAGCUCAACAAAUCUCUUUUGCAAAAUAAGCUGGUCUUUUCUGAGGGAAAAAAAAAAAGAAACUACACCUGUACUGCAAAUACUGCUCCAGUAAACCUAUCAUAGCAAACCAGGCUCACUUCAGCUGGGGGGGAAUGGUGGGGGUGUGUGUGUGUGUGUGUUGUGUGUGUGUGUGUGUGUGUGUGUGUGUGUGUUUGUGUGUGUAAUGGGUAGAAAGGAAUGCUUCAGUUUCUUGGCUUUGUUUUCAUUUCUCCAAGUGAAGAAAGAUGCUAUUGUUGGUAGUUUGCUUUGAAACUGAUAGAAAAAGUUAAGCGAAAUGACUGAAGAUUGAAUUGCUGGAAAUACCUGCAAGAUGAGUUCUUGUAGCGGCAGUCUUUGUGAAUAUUCCUAUCCGUAGAUCACGCCACCCUUAGGGAGGGAGCACAGGACUUCUGCAAUGGAAAAACUCAGCAGUUGUGUCCUUCUAGUUUCCCCCUCUUCCUAGAGAAAUCAAAGAAACAUCCUAGUGGACAUGCUUUGGAAAGUGCCUCUCCAUUUUCCUUGCUUUUCUGCUCCCGUUAAGUACAAGCCAGCUCUGUAAUUACACCUCUCCUGACUAUGAAAUGUUUCUCAGAGGUGAUUCCUCAUUCGGGAUAUCUGAAACACCAGAGGGCAGCAAAAGUGUUAAAGCAGGAAUUGAAAAAGCAUCUACCUUCCCAACAGAAGCACCUCUAUAAUUAUAGAGCAUGACUGUGUAAGAUGAUCAUAAUGCCUUGACAGCAUCAAUCCAUAGUGAAAAUGGUAGAAAACAGAUGUAAUCGUGACAUUACCAAAACUGUGCAGUGGCUACUUCUAAGCAGCACUGCUGGAAGCCGUUGUGACCCAUACAUAUAAAAAUGGAAGAGAAAUAUCAAAAGGUUGCUGGGAGUAACAGAUGCAGCAGGUCUUUAUUUAAGUCACAAUAAAUCAUGAAAUGGUGCUGUAACUCUUACAAAUUAUAGGCUCCCUUCUCCACUGUAGAUCUAUGUACUCUAACCUCUGGACUAGAGAUUGCAGGUCUGUGGAAGUACUUCCACGGGUAGCAACACUUCCCCGUUCUUUUGGCUUCUUCCAUCUAAUGCAGGUAAUUAAAAUCAGGAAGGUGGAUUCCCCUCAGUGUAGCCCUCUGGUGAGGUCUUACACUCGCCAGGCAGUCCCAUGGUACAAAUGUCUGCCCUUCCUUAGGAUGGAACAUUGUGAGAUGUUAAGGACAGCACCAAAUCCAGUCGUCUAUUUCCCAUUUCAGAAGACAGAAAUUCUGAGUCCUUUAAAAAGAAAUAAAA